CGCCUUUUGAUAUAUAUUCAUAAAAGGUCCUGCCUGCCCAGUGACUCUGUUUAACGGCCGCGGUAUUAUGACCGUGCAAAGGUAGCGUAAUCACUUGUCUUUUAAAUAAAGACUAGUAUGAACGGCAACACGAGGACCCAACUGUCUCACUAAAUUAGUCAGUGAAAUUUAUUUUUCCGUGCAAAAGCGGAAAUAUUUAUAUAAGACGAGAAGACCCUGUGGAGCUUUAAAUUUAAACUAACACUUAAUAGUAUUAUAGCAUAAAAUUUUAGGUUGGGGCGACCAUGAGGAAAAAUAAACCCUCAAGAUAUUAACUAGAGAGACAUCUCAACAAAUAGUAAUACUAACAUAUUGACCCAAUAAUUGAUCAACGAACCAAGUUACCCCAGGGAUAACAGCGCAAUCCACUCACAGAGCCCAUAUCGACGAGCGGGUUUACGACCUCGAUGUUGGAUCAGGACUACCCAGUGGCGCAGCAACUACUAAAGGUUCGUUUGUUCAACGAUUAAAAUCCU
RNAcentral lists this ribosomal RNA (515 nucleotides) under Oedipina parvipes. RNAcentral's name for it is "partial 16S ribosomal RNA". It matches the Rfam family "Bacterial large subunit ribosomal RNA", at positions 1817 to 2597 of the family's 2925-position model. Lineage: Eukaryota; Metazoa; Chordata; Amphibia; Caudata; Plethodontidae. The record is from RNAcentral.